CUCUUCACGGGGAUUUCUGCUGCCGCCACCGCCCACUCUUACCCCCGCCGCUUCUCGACUCUGUUGUUAGCCGAAGACUCGCCUCUCAGCCGCCCGCCGCACAGACGCACGAGUAAAAAGUGCAGCUCCAUCGGCUGAUCCUCGCUAAGCUCCGACUCUGGGCGGCACCGGGCGUCCCACGAUGCCGAAGAACAAGAAGCGGAACACUCCCCACCGCGGUAGCAGUGCUGGCGGCGGCGGGUCAGGAGCAGCCGCAGCGACGGCGGCGACAGCAGGUGGCCAGCAUCGAAAUGUUCAGCCUUUUAGUGAUGAAGAUGCAUCAAUUGAAACAAUGAGCCAUUGCAGUGGUUAUAGCGAUCCUUCCAGUUUUGCUGAAGAUGGACCAGAAGUCCUUGAUGAGGAAGGAACUCAAGAAGACCUAGAGUACAAGUUGAAGGGAUUAAUUGACCUAACCCUGGAUAAGAGUGCGAAGACAAGGCAAGCAGCUCUUGAAGGUAUUAAAAAUGCACUGGCUUCAAAAAUGCUGUAUGAAUUUAUUCUGGAAAGGAGAAUGACUUUAACUGAUAGCAUUGAACGCUGCCUGAAAAAAGUGUGCAACUUGCUUUGGUGUUUGCUGUUUUAUUGCCACAGAUGACAUUACUGAACUAUACUCAACUCUGGAAUGUUUGGAAAAUAUCUUCACUAAAUCCUAUCUCAAAGAGAAAGACACUACUGUUAUUUGCAGCACUCCUAAUACAGUGCUUCAUAUCAGCUCUCUUCUUGCAUGGACACUACUGCUGACCAUAUGCCCAAUCAAUGAAGUGAAGAAAAAGCUUGAGAUGCAUUUCCAUAAGCUUCCAAGCCUCCUCUCUUGUGAUGAUGUAAACAUGAGAAUAGCUGCUGGUGAAUCUUUGGCACUUCUCUUUGAAUUGGCCAGAGGAAUAGAGAGUGACUUUUUUUAUGAAGACAUGGAGUCCUUGACGCAGAUGCUUAGGGCCUUGGCAACAGAUGGAAAUAAACACCGGGCCAAAGUGGACAAGAGAAAGCAGCGGUCAGUUUUCAGAGAUGUCCUGAGGGCAGUGGAGGAACGGGAUUUUCCAACAGAAACCAUUAAAUUUGGUCCUGAACGCAUGUAUAUUGAUUGCUGGGUAAAAAAACACACCUAUGACACCUUUAAGGAGGUUCUUGGAUCAGGGAUGCAGUACCACUUGCAGUCAAAUGAAUUCCUUCGAAAUGUAUUUGAACUUGGACCCCCAGUGAUGCUUGAUGCUGCAACGCUUAAAACGAUGAAGAUUUCUCGUUUCGAAAGGUAGAGACGGGAUUUCACCGUGUUAGCCAGGAUGGUCUCAAUCUCCUGACCUCGUGAUUCGCCCACCUCGGCCUCCCAGAGUGCUGGGAUUACAGCAUUUAUAUAACUCUGCAGCCUUCAAAGCUCGAACCAAAGCUAGAAGCAAAUGUCGAGAUAAGAGAGCAGAUGUUGGAGAAUUCUUCUAGAUUUUCAGAACUUGAAGACUAUUUUCUAAUUUCUAUUUUUUUUUCUAUUUCAAUGUAUUUAAACUCUAGACACAGUUUUUAUCCUGGAUUAACUUAGAUAACUUUUGUAGCAGUGGUUAUAUUGCUUAUAAUUUAAUGUACAAUACUAUUGAAACUGGUGAGUUCUGAUUAUUAAAUAUUCUCUGUAAAUCAGUAAACAUGUAUAAAGUAUUUGUAAUGUUUGGUCAUAAUUUAUUUAUGAAGACAGCAAAAGACUGAUUUCAUGAUGGGGAAAACAAUUAGCCAAAGUUUAAUUUCUUACACUGUGGUUGUCAAGAAUACUGAUUUACUAUAAUGAUAUAUACAUGCAAGAUAUUUAACUUAAUAUCUUAGACAAGAGUUCUGGGUACAAUUUUGGGAUCUAGUUCCCCUGGAAAAGCUGCUGUAUUUUUAAUUUUUAAUGGAAUGUAGCUUUUAAAAUCCUGUCACUGGCAUCAACAAAAGGAAUUAUACCAUGAGACCUUAUAGCUGUACUUAAAAGCCAUUCAGUUCAGCUAUUGGGAGUUCAUGAUGAAUUAGCAUAUGCCAGAAAGGUUGCUAACCUUAACAUCUGAGAGCAGUAACACUGAUUUUAUCUGCUGUAUGAGACUUUGUGCAUUUUACUUUGAAAUAAAGAUUUUUUUCCACACUGAAAGUGCUUCUCUUCUAAUAGAAGAAAUAUUAUUUAUGGCUUUGAGGUACAGAGUCCAAAAUGACUAGGCCAGGUGGGCAGGGAGACAAAGCUUUAUGUGUAUAUUUACAAACAUUAAAGUAGAUGAAAAGAAUGUAGCAAUACAUAAUUGGGAUUAAGGUUUCUGACUUUCAAGAAUAUUUCUGCUUGGCAACAUGCAGUGUGGCUCAUGCCUAUAAUCAGCACUCUGGGGAGGCUGAGGCGGGAGGAUGGCAUGAGCCCAGUUUGAGACCAGCCUGGGCAACAUAGCGAGACCCUGUCUCUACCAGAAAUUUAAAAAAUGAGUGUGGUGGUGUGUGCUUCUACUCUUUAUCUACUUGGGUGCUGAGGCAAGAGGGUAACUUGAGCCCAGGAGGUCAAAGCUGCAGUGAGCCGUGAUUGUGCCACUCCAGCCUGGGUGACGAGUGAGACCUUGUCUCAAAAGCAAAACAAAAAAGAAUAUUGCUGCUUGUUUGCCCAUGAGGUAUAUUUCUUUCAUUUUAUGAAAAGCAUUUUGACAACACGUUAACAUUUAAUAAACUUUAGAUUAAAAUAUAUAGUGCAAGCAACAUGCCAUUUCAAAUCCGUAGACUUGUUUCUUUGAUACUCUUGCUGUAGGUCGCCGUGAGGGGUAGGGAAGCAUAUAUACUGUAGGGAGAAGUAUCAAAAUCAUUUAAGGUCUUUUUUCCAAACUAGUGUUCCCCUCCCACAUCCCAACAACUCUUGGAAGUCUGGUGCUCCCUCUAGGUGAAAAUCAUUUGCUGGCUUAUGGAGUCACUGUUGCUGAGUCCCAUCCCCCAGUUACAGUGCAGUGGAAAACAGGUUUAGAAUCUAGAACUUGUUUGUAUGUUGUCACUUGGUUAUGUUCCAAGUAGGUUAGAACCAUGGAAAAGAGAUUGCAAAUGGUAGUUUCUUCUAGAUAUUCAAAUGCAUAUAUGUAUGUACAUGUAAUUAUAAAUAAAUAAUGAAUUUUUAUUAAAGUGUUGUAUGAACAUA
This 3157-nucleotide long non-coding RNA is filed under the name Homo sapiens (human). RNAcentral describes it as "long non-coding RNA NONHSAT212543.1". The record is from RNAcentral. Lineage: Eukaryota; Metazoa; Chordata; Mammalia; Primates; Hominidae.